GCCUUCGUGGUGUAACGGUCAGUACGCUGGGCGUGUAUUCCAGCGGUCCGUGGUUCGAGUCCCGGCGAAGGCG
Molecule: non-coding RNA, 73 nt
Organism: Stegodyphus mimosarum
Lineage: Eukaryota; Metazoa; Arthropoda; Arachnida; Araneae; Eresidae
Source: Rfam